This 726-nucleotide long non-coding RNA is filed under the name Brassica napus (rape). RNAcentral's name for it is "long non-coding RNA (BNAP_LNC009755)". The record is from RNAcentral. Lineage: Eukaryota; Viridiplantae; Streptophyta; Magnoliopsida; Brassicales; Brassicaceae.
UGGCUUAAAAACAAAGAAAAUGAGUGGAAUAUUAGAUUAGAUCUACCUUUAUAGAACACACAGAAAUACAUAUCUAAAAUUAUUAAAUCUACCUUCAAAUGAGUGGAAGAUGAGAACCAUGUGAUGAAAAACCUGCAAAACAAGAUAAACUAGUGAGAAAGACAUGAAACAAAAACAAUAAAUUGAUAUAAAGUUUGGUGUUUAUAAGUUUAAAUAGAUUAGAGAGAGUUUGAAGAGUUUUAGAAUGAGGAACAUAUGAUUUUUGUUGCAGCCAUUUGAGAGGAGAAGAGAGAAUGUGUAAAUAUUUUUUUUAAUAUAUGGAGACAAAAAUUUCAAUAAAGUUAAAUAUUUUCGAUCAGAAGACUUACUAGACGACUUUAAGACUUCAAUAUUUUUAGCGGAAAACUAAAAUUUUUUUAGCGGGAGUUAGAAUACUUCCCAGACGACUUACAUGUUAGUCGUGUAGACCCUAAACAUAAGAAACAAAAACAAUAAAUUGAUAUAAAGUUUGGUGUUUAUAAGUUUAAAUAGAUUAGAGAGAGUUUGAAGAGUUUUAGAAUGAGGAACAUAUGAUUUUUGUUGCAGCCAUUUGAGAGGAGAAGAGAGAAUGUGUAAAUAUUUUUUUUAAUAUAUGGAGACAAAAAUUUCAAUAAAGUUAAAUAUUUUCGAUCAGAAGACUUACUAGACGACUUUAAGACUUCAAUAUUUUUAGCGGAAAACUAAAAU